Molecule: ribosomal RNA, 508 nt
Filed under: uncultured Chloroflexota bacterium
Lineage: Bacteria; Bacillati; Chloroflexota
Description: bacterial SSU rRNA
Rfam family: Bacterial small subunit ribosomal RNA
Source: RNAcentral
UAGGGAAUAUUGCACAAUGGGCGAAAGCCUGAUGCAGCAACGCCGCGUGCGCGAAGAAGGUCUUCGGAUCGUAAAGCGCUUUUUGGGGAGAUGAGGAAGGACAGUAUCCCCAGAAUAAGGCUCGGCUAACUACGUGCCAGCAGCCGCGGUAAAACGUAGGAGCCAAGCGUUAUCCGAAUUCACUGGGCGUAAAGCGCGUGCAGGCGGUCUGGUAAGUUGGAUGUGAAAUCUCCUGGCUCAACUGGGAGAGGCCGUUCAAUACUGUCAGACUAGAGGGCGACAGAGGGAGGUAGAAUUCCCGGUGUAGUGGUGAAAUGCGUAGAUAUCGGGAGGAAUACCAGAGGCGAAGGCGACCUUCUGGGUCGUACCUGACGCUCAGACGCGAAAGCUAGGGGAGCGAACGGGAUUAGAAACCCCGGUAGUCCUAGCCGUAAACGAUGUAGACUGGGUGUUGGCGGGGUAAAAGCCGUCAGUGCCGAAGCAAACGCGAUAAGUCUACCGCCUGGGG